AAGCAAGACCGCGAGGUGGAGCAAAUCCCCAAAAGCCGUCCCAGUUCGGAUUGCAGGCUGAAACCCGCCUGUAUGAAGUUGGAAUCGCUAGUAAUCGCGGAUCAGCAUGCCGCGGUGAAUAUGUUCCCGGGCCUUGUACACACCGCCCGUCAAGCCAUGGAAGCCGGGGGUGCCUGAAGUGCGCUGCCGCAAGGAGCGCCCUAGGGUAAAACCGGUGACUGGGGCUAAGUCGUAACAAGGUAAC
Molecule: ribosomal RNA, 244 nt
Filed under: uncultured bacterium
Lineage: Bacteria
Description: partial 16S ribosomal RNA
Rfam family: Bacterial small subunit ribosomal RNA
Source: RNAcentral